Molecule: long non-coding RNA, 1210 nt
Organism: Glycine soja
Lineage: Eukaryota; Viridiplantae; Streptophyta; Magnoliopsida; Fabales; Fabaceae
Exons: 4
Source: RefSeq, a predicted model, not a curated record
GACUCAAUCAACCGUCGAAGCAAAGUUCAUCGCUGCAACAACAUUUGUUAAUCAUGUUUUAUGGCUGAGAAAAAUUUUAAAUGAUCUGCGCUUAGAGCAAAAAACGAGUACCAAAUGAAAAGGUUGGAUUAAUCAUAGGGAGAGGUGGGGAAACAAUUAAAAGCCUGCAGAGCAAAUCCGGGGCGCGCAUCCAGUUGAUACCUCAACAUCUUCCAGAAGGGGAUGAUUCCAAAGAAAGGACUGUCCAAGUUACUGGUGAUAAGAGGCAAAUUCAAAUUGCACAAGAAUUGAUAAAGGAAGUCAUGAAUCAGAUGUUGAAUCUCUACAUAUAAAUUGUGGUGGAAAGCAGGUUGUUGUUGGAGAUAUAACAUAUGAUGAAGAUAUGGAUUCAGCUGGACCAACAGUUUUUAAACAAAGUAGAAAUAAUUGGACAUUUAGCAACACAGGUCACUUCGUGGUCAAUGAUACUUUAGCUAAACAAGGGAAGCUUCCAGCCUAUGCCACAGAAAAUGAAACCAGGCUUUAUAUGACUGAUGCCGAAUUAUAUAAGAAUGCACGUAUUUCCCCCAUAUCUUUGACUUAUUAUGGAUUUUGCUUGGAAAAUGGAGACUACACAGUAAAGCCAUACUUUGCUUAGAUAAUGUAUACAGCUGAUAGCACAUAUAGCUGCUUAGGGAGGCGUCUGUUAGAUGUUAUAUUCAAGUACACGAUUUUAUCCAACAAGUCACUAGUUUCCUUUAGGAUGACAUCAAUCAAUGUUUACACUUUAGAUCCCUUUCACAAGAAGUUGAAAAGGAACUCAUAAAACAAUUUUCAUCUCAUGUGAGUAGUAAGGAUUUAUAGAUCCACUUCUAUUGGGCUGGCAAAGAGACAACAAAAUCCCAUACAAAUUUAAAAGCUAGCAUCUCUAAUUCAAUCAAAAUAUCUAUGCAGUUAUUCUAACAAUGUUAUAGGUUAGGAAUGAAUCAAAUUGUACUUAGGAAAGAAAAAAGAAAGCAUGGCUAGGAAUCAUUACAGGUAACUAGCUUAUUUAUCAUUUUGAUAGCUUCAUCAGUAACUGAUGUGCUCUACGUUUCGGUUCUUCUAUUCUAUUUUACUUUAGAUAUUUAACAGGAAACUUGCUCACUGAGCAAGUGCCUGAGUGGACAAGUGCCAGUAAAAAAAAUUUUUGAGUUCUAUUUUGAAUGCUACUUGUAUACCUCAUUGAGUA